This 394-nucleotide ribosomal RNA is filed under the name uncultured bacterium. RNAcentral describes it as "partial 16S ribosomal RNA". It matches the Rfam family "Bacterial small subunit ribosomal RNA", at positions 338 to 729 of the family's 1533-position model. The record is from RNAcentral.
CCUACGGGAGGCAGCAGUGAGGAAUAUUGGUCAAUGGUCGGGAGACUGAACCAGCCAAGCCGCGUGAGGGAGGAAGGUACAGAGUAUCGUAAACCUCUUUUGUCAGGGAACAAAGACUGGGACGCGUCCCCGGAUGAGUGUACCUGAAGAAAAAGCAUCGGCUAACUCCGUGCCAGCAGCCGCGGUAAUACGGAGGAUGCGAGCGUUAUCCGGAUUUAUUGGGUUUAAAGGGUGCGCAGGGGGGCUGUUAAGUCAGCGGUCAAAGCCCGGGGCUUAACCCCGGAACCGCGUUUGAUACUGGCAGUCUCGAGUUGGAGAGAAGUAUGCGGAAUGCGCGGUGUAGCGGUGAAAUGCAUAGAUAUCGCGCAGAACUCCGAUUGCGAAGGCAGCAUGC